UACGUAGGGUGCGAGCGUUAAUCGGAAUUACUGGGUUUAAAGGGUCCGUAGGCGGCCUUAUAAGUCAGUGGUGAAAUCCCAUCGCUCAACGAUGGAACUGCCAUUGAUACUGUAGGGCUUGAAUUAUUGUGAAGUAACUAGAAUAUGUAGUGUAGCGGUGAAAUGCUUAGAUAUUACAUGGAAUACCAAUUGCGAAGGCAGGUUACUAACAAUUGAUUGACGCUGAUGGACGAAAGCGUGGGGAGCGAACAGG
Molecule: ribosomal RNA, 253 nt
Filed under: uncultured bacterium
Lineage: Bacteria
Description: partial 16S ribosomal RNA
Rfam family: Bacterial small subunit ribosomal RNA
Source: RNAcentral